UACGUAGGCAGCGAGCGUUGUUCGGAGUUACUGGGCGUAAAGAGUAUGUAGGUGGUUUCGCAAGUUUGGUGUGAAAUCUCCCGGCUCAACUGGGAGGGUGCGCCGAAAACUGCGAGGCUAGAGUGCGGGAGAGGAGAGCGGAAUUCCUGGUGUAGCGGUGAAAUGCGUAGAUAUCAGGAGGAACACCUGCGGUGUAGACGGCUCUCUGGACCGUUACUGACACUGAGAUACGAAAGCGUGGGGAG
This 245-nucleotide ribosomal RNA is filed under the name uncultured bacterium. Its description in RNAcentral is "partial 16S ribosomal RNA". It matches the Rfam family "Bacterial small subunit ribosomal RNA", at positions 524 to 768 of the family's 1533-position model. The record is from RNAcentral.